Molecule: long non-coding RNA, 817 nt
Organism: Neofelis nebulosa (Clouded leopard)
Lineage: Eukaryota; Metazoa; Chordata; Mammalia; Carnivora; Felidae
Exons: 2
Source: RefSeq, a predicted model, not a curated record
GAUUGGCUCCGGGGCUGCCGGAAAUGAAGUCUUUAAUUCAGUAGAUGGCACUCUUACCUCUGAAUCCACAGAGCACCGCGCUUCUCCCACACGCACACACACCUGACAAAGAGAAGAAACGACGUUCGUUCUUCUGAUUUUAUUCUUCUCGAAGUCUCCUGAAACUGGGAGAGUGCGGCAAAUUAAAACUUCAAGAAGGCCUUCCUGCGAGGGGGCGAAGCAGAAAUAGAAGCCACCCCGAUCCCGUUAGGUGGAAAUAUUCACUGCCCACGCUGGUGGAUCUCCUUUUGUGGUUCUAGUGAGGAUCCCACUGCACAGAAGGGAGAGAAAUCUGACCGAGUUCAAGAAGGAUUUGUGGGAGGAGAUUUGUGUGUCCUUUGACAUCUGGAACAGGGCCAAACUGCAGCUGGGGCCGGGGGGCCUCAGUGUCUCCUCCACCCCCGACCUCGCUGCAGCUAAGGGUGUGUCGCACUCUCUCGUGCAAAGUCGCCAUGCGUGAUUUCCAGGACACCUGGGGGAGAAUGGGUGUCACCCACACCUCUUGAGUCCGCGGCUGAUUCCCGACGUCAAGCUCCCAGGAAGGCUCUCCGUGGUCCGGCGGGGGUCAUGUGGCAUCGCAGGACCAGGCAGCUGUGCCGGGACUCAGGGGUGCAUGGUCCCCACGGGUGGCGCCCGAGGUGCCCAGGUGGACGGGGGCCGGUCAAGGUCAGGUGCCGGAGGAGGCAGGCCCGCGUGUCUGCGUGCACGAGCACAGGUGCACACGUGUGGGGGCUGAGGAGGAGUCUUUAAAAAAGAGGAAUAAAGGCAGAAAAAGGAA